UACGUAGGGGGCAAGCGUUGUCCGGAAUCAUUGGGCGUAAAGCGCGUGUAGGCGGCUCGAUAAGUCUGCUGUGAAAGUUCAGGGCUCAACCCUGAAAUGCCGGUGGAAACUGUCGGGCUAGAGUCCGGAAGAGGCGAGUGGAAUUCCUGGUGUAGUGGUGGAAUGCGUAGAUAUCGGGAGGAACACCAGUGGCGAAGGCGGUUGCCUGGGGCUUUGCUGACGCUGAUGCGCGAAAGCGUGGGGAGCGAUCCGG
RNAcentral lists this ribosomal RNA (253 nucleotides) under uncultured bacterium. Its description in RNAcentral is "partial 16S ribosomal RNA". It matches the Rfam family "Bacterial small subunit ribosomal RNA", at positions 524 to 776 of the family's 1533-position model. The record is from RNAcentral.